This 399-nucleotide ribosomal RNA is filed under the name uncultured bacterium. RNAcentral describes it as "bacterial SSU rRNA". It matches the Rfam family "Bacterial small subunit ribosomal RNA", at positions 30 to 431 of the family's 1533-position model. The record is from RNAcentral.
AUUGAACGCUGGCGGCAUGCCUUACACAUGCAAGUCGAACGGCAGCACGGGAGCAAUCCUGGUGGCGAGUGGCGAACGGGUGAGUAAUAUAUCGGAACGUGCCCGGUCGUGGGGGAUAACGUAGCGAAAGCUACGCUAAUACCGCAUACGAUCUACGGAUGAAAGCGGGGGAUCGCAAGACCUCGCGCGAUUGGAGCGGCCGAUAUCAGAUUAGGUAGUUGGUGAGGUAAAGGCUCACCAAGCCGACGAUCUGUAGCUGGUCUGAGAGGACGACCAGCCACACUGGGACUGAGACACGGCCCAGACUCCUACGGGAGGCAGCAGUGGGGAAUUUUGGACAAUGGGCGCAAGCCUGAUCCAGCAAUGCCGCGUGCAGGAUGAAGGCCUCGGUUGUAACGU